This 402-nucleotide ribosomal RNA is filed under the name uncultured prokaryote. RNAcentral's name for it is "bacterial SSU rRNA". It matches the Rfam family "Bacterial small subunit ribosomal RNA", at positions 355 to 774 of the family's 1533-position model. The record is from RNAcentral.
UUGGGAAUCUUGGACAAUGGGGGAAACCCUGAUCCAGCCAUGCCGCGUGAGUGAUGAAGGCCUUCGGGUUGUAAAACUCUUUCGACGGGGACGAUAAUGACGGUACCCGUAGAAGAAGCUCCGGCUAACUUCGUGCCAGCAGCCGCGGUAAUACGAAGGGGGCUAGCGUUGUUCGGAAUUACUGGGCGUAAAGCGCGCGCAGGCGGCUAUCCAAGUCAGUGGUGAAAGCCCGGAGCUCAACUCCGGAACUGCCAUUGAAACUGUUUAGCUUGAGGACGAGAGAGGUGAGUGGAAUUCCCAGUGUAGAGGUGAAAUUCGUAGAUAUUGGGAGGAACACCAGCGGCGCAGGCGGCUCACUAGACAGUUUCUGACGCUAAGAUACGAAAGCGUGGGGAGCAAACA